AUGUCCCCUGACAUGGAGACCACCGCCACCGUCGGCAUGAAGCCCAUGGUGCUCGCUGCACCGACCACCAAGGCCAGCGCCGGCGGGUUCGAGGCGGCCGUCGAGGGUGGCGGCUGCGACUGCAACACCUGCAAGUGCGGCAGCAGCUGCGGCUGCAGCUGCUGCAGCUGCAACUGAGCCAUCCCGGCGAUGGCGCACGAGGAGGAAGGAGGAGACAGAGACAACAACCACCCCCCAGCGUACUAAACUAUGUAGCGGCGUCUAAAUAAGAUCCUGUCAACUGCGUGCGUGCACCGCCAUUAUUCAUGCAUGGUCGCCGGCCUCGUCUCCGUCUCCGAUCCUGGGGUUGUUCAUCUCCAACGUCUCGCGGUUUGACGAUUGCCGUCGUCGUCGAUCCUAUGUCCGCCUCGUGCCUGAUCUAAUAUAUGUGUUUUUUUUCUGCAUUACCUGUGCUUUCUCUGUCUGUCUGUCUGUCUGUCUGUCUGUCUGUCUGUCUGACGGGCCCAUGCGUCAGCGUCACUGCUUGCUUCUUUCUGUGUCUGAUUCUGACGAGAUGCUGCAAAAAAAUCUAAGAACCUCUUUGCAGUGCUACAAAAUUCUGAGAUGGAAAAAAUAUGUGUGAAAGCGAAAACAGGGCUGCAUCACUCAAAGUUGGUGCUAAACAGCGGCACACUCCUGCAAGAGCUCUAACCACAAGUCCAUGGCUCAUGGCAGUAUUGUUAAUCAUAGCUCUGGCAUGCAUGAUUAUAAUUUAUACUAGAAUAGAGGAAGGAGAAAAAAAACAGGAGCAAAAUGAGGAACAGAAAGUUACUAGCGAGUAGCGACUAAUGGCGCUGCUUUGAACGAACGCAAGAUUUUGCAGAAUGCAGAGUACCCUGAAAUUUGGAAAAUCAAUAUGACCAGCUACAGUUUCAUGCUACUAUUCGUGAUUUUUCUCUUUUCCUUUAGAUAAUGGAAAAUUGAUAUCUAAGUAACUGAGCAAAAAAAGGAAAGGAUAUGAAGUAUCCUAGGUCAGCACAGUAAGUCUCUGAAAAGACUUUUCAGAAUGCCGAGUACACUGAAAUUUGGAACAUCAACGUGACCAACUACAGUUUCAGGUUACUGUUCUGAGUGUUCUGGCUUUUUGUCUUCUCCCUUUAGAUAAUGGAAUAUUGAUAUAUAUAUAUAUUGUUUUGAAACAAUGGAAUAUUGAUAUCUAAGUAACUGUGCCAAAAAAGAAAGAAAGAUAUGAGUAUCUUUUUCCACUUGGCCAGCACAGUUAGAGACUGAAAAAGAUUUUGCAGCAGAAUGCAGAGUAGCCUGAAAUUCGAGGCAUCAACAUUACUAUAUUUUCAGGCUACUAUUCUGGAUUUUCUCUUUUCCUUUAGAUAAUAGAAUAUCAAUAUCUUUUUUAACGGAAUAAUGGAAUAGUGAUAUCUAACUGGGCCAGAAAGAACAAACACAUGAGUAUCUUUUUCCAUUAUGGUGUGAUGGUGUGAACUCUGAACAAUCUUCAAAACUUGAAAUUUGUUUUUUUUUCUUUUUCAGAGAGAGAGAGAGAGAGAGAGCUCAUCAUUUUAUUUUUUUUGUGUAAAAGAAACAGCUCAACAUAUGCUUUCACUUGAAUGGACCUAAGAAUAGACAGAAAGAAAAAAGUGAAAGCGGAAAUAGAUGAAGGAAAACAAAAGUUGCAGAAUCUGGGAUGAGUAUGCAGUCUAAUCAUGUCUAAGCAUCCAAUACAAAUGCAUAGUGGUGUAUAAAAACUAUAUUCUGUAAGCACCUCUCUCUUUAAGUCAAUUGCGCACUUGUAAGUUGUAUAAGUACUAUAAAAUCAUUCCUGUAGAGCACAGUAAUUGCAAUGAUCCUCUGAGUCUCUUUCAAUAAAAAAAACAUCUGUGUCUUGUUCUUUUCGCUCUAUGUUUAAAUUGGGUUUUCAUUUGGAACUAGGAAUCUGAAAAAAAAUAGAAAAGGAAAGACUCUGCAAGAGUUUGUAUUAAAAUCCUCAGAAGUCCUUCAGCUAGGAUUUGACACUCACCCAGUAUGUAAUCUAAAAAAUAAUUUAUGGGGAGUUAAUUAGCUAGGAUUUGUCACUCCAUCGGUUGGCACUUUCACAGUUUUAUCUGUUGUAUGAUUGUCAUAUGCUAAUCCUGAUGUCAUCAAAACGCAAAUAGGAUGAUGAUCUUGAGAUGCCACUAAAACAGAGUGGAAACAAUCCGACCUCAGUUUUUUAUGCAUAGCUUAACGAACAAGAUUAAACCGGAAUGGUUAAGAUUGAGGUCGUCAUCAACAGUUCAGUACCAUUUCAGGUACUAUGACUUCUGAACAGCCUCUUCCGUAUUAUACUCAACAGAUCUGCAAAUAGUCAAAUAUCAAACAAUUCCCUUGCUAUCAUGGUACUACUAGCAUUCUUUUCUAUCCAACGACGUCACAAGAACCACAGCUAGAUCAUGCAUGUUGCAAGCUAAGAUCCCCCAGGAUAUUCCCGGCGAUUCAUUGGCCCCGGCAUACACAGACUAGUAUUUCACCUCAUUGUAUACUGCUACACGUAUGGGUGCGUAUAUUGUAUACAAAUACAAGUGAGUAGUCCACUUGCUGCCCUCGAAUAAACUACGUCUGAACUUUUUCAUGUAUGUCAUGUGUGCAAGUAGUGCCAUGUAUAUAUACAAAAAUACUCCGGCCUGGGGAUUGACCUGAUGUUGCCUUCAUCCAAUCACCAGCUGCACAAAAGAAAAUGGCUUAUUUCAUCAAAAUAAAAUUGGCUUAGCUCUUGCACUGCAGUCUGCAGGUGCUGGUGCUCCUGUUAAUGGUCAUGAACUUUCUAGGUUACCAAAGUCAGCGCAGGUGUAUGUAGUAUGUAUGUAUAUAUGUGCAUGCAUAUGCAUAUGCAUACGGGGGGAAGAAGAUGAUGUCUUGAAGAUGUGGACAUGGCGUAGCAACAGCUGGUGACCUCGAUCAAAGAAAUGCACCAAUUUGUAAUGCAACUUGUUUAACAGAGCAACUUGUUCCAACCCUCGCUGUGUUUCAAGUGGAGUUUCAGUGAUGAUUGAGCCAUCUGAAAGAUUGGCUCCUGCCUCCUCCUCCUAUUCUUUUAGGAGCUACAAGAUGUACCAAAUCAAGUAUUCAUCUACCUUUAAUAAAUAUAAUGGCUACAUGUGGUUGCAGAGGCUAAAACGGUUCCAUUUCCUAAAAGGAUUUUCACUAAAUAUUACUCAACUAAUUUGUUGAAAAAUACUCUUUGGUAGACAGACAUUGUGGACAACUAUAGCCCCUUCACUUCAUAGGAUUGUAGCUGAGCGGGCAGGGCAUAUGAUUGAAGUUGGAUGCAACUGUCUGAGCUUAUCCGUCAAAUCUACCAGUCAUUCAAAAAUAUUUUUCUCUCAUAAUAAAUCAACGAAUAGUAUCUUCAGCCAUGACUUUUCAGCCAAGCGAACUAAGUCAAUAAAUGGGAUACAAUAAAGCUAACAUAAUUCAAGAAAAAGGUUUUAUAUAAAACACAAAUUGAACACAUAUAGAGAUAUGAUGCAAAGGGAAAAAUAUUCAUACAGAAUUGAAAAGCAUGUAAACUAGCUAGUAAUCAAAUUAUCUCAACUAGAUAAAAUAUCAGGGGGAGAGAUGGAGCCCAAACAUUUCUUUAUUAAAUGUGGACCCUAAAUUUAUCCAUAAAACUUUUAAUACUUAGAUCACUUUUAAAACAGCCAUGCCUCUUUUAAAAAUAUAAGCAAUUUGGAGAAGAAUAUAACUAACAUAUACUGAUAUAAACUGGUAUUAUAUACUAAAAUAAGCAGCCGAGAAUUCUGAUUUUGUUUUCAUCUAAUGGUGAGGAUUCAUAUUAAAGUCAAACUUUUCCUCAUGAAAAGUAUUGUACAAGUUUCUGAAAAAAUACACAUGAUAUUUGAGUGUUUCUCCCUUCCCAGAGACCUAAGCUUUCGUCUCUUUUCCUCUUCAUCACAACAAUUUUGGCAAGAUCCACCCCCAGUGUAUUGUAUCUUAUUUAGGGUCGGGUUUCUUCAUAGGGUUAGGAUUUUACUAGAAGAAAAAAGACAUUCCCGUGUAAAUGUGAAUUUAGGGUUUAUUUGGGAAAAAAAGGAAAUUUAGGUUUGAAUUUUGCGACAAUGCCUUGAGAAAUUUAGGAUAGAAAUUUCAAGGAUUUGGAGUUUUUUUUUAAAAAAAUAAUUUAAGAAAUAUAGAACAUGUUUGGAUCUAAUAGCACUAAAAAAAUAGUAGCCAAAAUUAAUACUAGUGAACACAAAUAGACCUGCUAAUGUUCCACAACCGGGUUUGGACAGCUGAUCGUUUAGCAAAGAGGAACCUUCCCCAUCCUGAGGCUUGUCCAUUUUGUGAUCAAGAAGAAGAAACAAUAAAUCAUUUGUUAGUGGGCUGCGUUUUUGCUCGACAAGUCUGGUUUCUGGUUUUCCAACACUUGGGGCUCCUGCAGUUGGCUCCACAACCUACGGUGACUCAUUUCUCUGGGUGGUGGAAGAAAACAACUUCUGAUGUCCCCAAGGAAGCACGUAAAGGCCUCAAUUCCUUGAUUAUUUUGGUCGCCUGGGAGAUCUGGAAGCACCGUAAUACUUGUGUCUUCGACAACAUGAGGCCAAAUGUUCAGGAAGUCCUUAGGGCCAUUAGCUCGGAGGGAGGGAUCUGGUGCUCAGCGGGGGCAUCCAAACUCCAGGAGCUGGUCCUUAGGUUGCCUUCUGAGGCAUAGGGUCUAGAGGUUAUGGUCGUGUUUUGGCCUCUGAGUGGCGAUUCUGUUUUCAGUUGUACCUUGUGUGGGGGUGUGUGAGUUGUGGGGUAUGAGUGUGUUGUUUGGGUCUCUGUGACCUUUGUAUGGGUCUCUAUGACCUUUGUACCUUUUUUGUUCCUUAAUGAAAUGACGCGCAGUUCUCCUGCGCUGUUCGAGAAAAAAAAUAGACCUGCUAAUUAUUAGCAAGACGAUUACUUAACUAUUAGUCCCAUUAGCUAGUUUAGAGUUGCUAUAAUAGUUCAUAUGCACAUUGAACUCACUAUGCAACUACCUAUUAGAAGGUUGAUCUAGAUGGUCUCCUACUGAAAAUUAGCUUUCUUAAAAAUAAUAGUUAUUAAAUGAGCUAAUAUUUAGUGUUAAUGGAUCCAAAAUAGGCCCUAGGCCUUGUUUAAAAUGUUAUUGGAUUCACCUCAAUCCACAUACGUUAGUGCAGAUUAGGUUAAAAUUUAGCUCAAGUUUCACUCCAAUCAACCAAGCACAUGUGGAUUGAUAUGAAUCCAACUACAUCUAAACAAGAUAUAAAGCGAGAGCAGGCAAAAUAUGUGACUUUUCUUUUUGCACUAUAAGCAUACGCUAAGUUUAAAACAAUUUCAAAAAAAAACUGAACGAUCAAAAUAUAUUUAUUGAGUUGGUUUCUAUGUUUUCACAAAUUGAGUGGUUUCCACCGUAUGUAUAUUUUGCCGUGUACUAUCUAUUUGGGUGCAAUUCAAACAUGGGGUUGU
This 5445-nucleotide long non-coding RNA is filed under the name Sorghum bicolor (sorghum). Its description in RNAcentral is "long non-coding RNA (SBIC_LNC015282)". The record is from RNAcentral. Lineage: Eukaryota; Viridiplantae; Streptophyta; Magnoliopsida; Poales; Poaceae.